AAAAGGUGGCUAUGCUACCGCUUUUGGAUGGGCCCGCGGCGCAUUAGCUAGUUGGUGGGGUAAAGGCUUACCAAGGCAAUGAUGCGUAGCCGAACUGAGAGGUUGAUCGGCCACAUUGGGACUGAGACACGGCCCAAACUCCUACGGGAGGCAGCAGUAGGGAAUCUUCCACAAUGGGCGAAAGCCUGAUGGAGCAACGCCGCGUGGGUGAAGAAGGUCUUCGGAUCGUAAAACCCUGUUGUUAGAGAAGAAAGUGCGUGAGAGUAACUGUUCACGUUUCGACGGUAUCUAACCAGAAAGCCACGGCUAACUACGUGCCAGCAGCCGCGGUAAUACGUAGGUGGCAAGCGUUAUCCGGAUUUAUUGGGCGUAAAGGGAACGCAGGCGGUCUUUUAAGUCUGAUGUGAAAGCCUUCGGCUUAACCGGAGUAGUGCAUUGGAAACUGGGAGACUUGAGUGCAGAAGAGGAGAGUGGAACUCCAUGUGUAGCGGUGAAAUGCGUAGAUAUAUGGAAGAACACCAGUGGCGAAAGCGGCUCUCUGGUCUGUAACUGACGCUGAGGUUCGAAAGCGUGGGUAGCAAACAGGAUUAGAUACCCUGGUAGUCCACGCCGUAAACGAUGAAUGCUAAGUG
This 632-nucleotide ribosomal RNA is filed under the name uncultured bacterium. RNAcentral describes it as "bacterial SSU rRNA". It matches the Rfam family "Bacterial small subunit ribosomal RNA", at positions 202 to 822 of the family's 1533-position model. The record is from RNAcentral.